This 133-nucleotide small nuclear RNA is filed under the name Physeter macrocephalus (sperm whale). Its description in RNAcentral is "Physeter catodon (sperm whale) U4 spliceosomal RNA (ENSPCTG00005008315.1)". It matches the Rfam family "U4 spliceosomal RNA". Rfam says of the family: U4 small nuclear RNA (U4 snRNA) is a component of the major U2-dependent spliceosome. The structure of U4 snRNA from yeast and human has been reported. Lineage: Eukaryota; Metazoa; Chordata; Mammalia; Artiodactyla; Physeteridae. The record is from Rfam by way of RNAcentral.
AGCUUUGCGCAGUGGCAGUAUCGUAGCCAAUGAGGUUUAUCCGAGGCGCGAUUAUUGCUAAUUGAAAACUUAGAAAUUAAAUUAAGGGACUUCCCUGGUGGCGCAGUUAUUAAGAAUAUACCUGCCAAUGCAG